Molecule: long non-coding RNA, 801 nt
Filed under: Homo sapiens (human)
Lineage: Eukaryota; Metazoa; Chordata; Mammalia; Primates; Hominidae
Description: HSALNT0181400
Source: RNAcentral
AGUAGUUAUGCCCUUGGCAUCUUUGCUAUUAUCAUUGAUAGACAGAAAAUUACCAGAAUAAUAAAAACUAAACAAUUUCUUAUUUUAAGCAUAAAACAUAAGAAUUUCAUAAAUCAAGCCACUAAAGCAGUUUUGUCUAUGUUCAAUGCUGCCACACAUAAUUAAAAUAAACAUAAUAGUUUAGAAUUUGAUCUUCGGAACAUUUAAAAUUCCUCUUUUAGCUAUUUUGAAAUACAUAAUACAUUAUUAUUAACUGUGAUCACCAUGCUAUGUGAUAGUACACCAGAAUGUAUUCCUCCAGUCUAACUAAAACUUUGUACCCUUUGAUCAAUGCCUCCCCUUUCCCUGUCUACCCCACUAGCCUCUGAUAACCACCAUUCUACUCUCUACUUCUAUGAGUUCAACUUUUUUAGAUGAGAUGGGAUAAUGUUUUAAAAUAUUAAUGACAAUGUGAACCUAAAAUCUAAGUGAUUGUGUUAAAGCACUGCAGUAGAAGUGGUCUUUAUGUGAGAGGCAGAAGAGAAGCAGCAAGGAAUGUGAAGGUAUGUGAUAUGGCUUAGCUGAUCUCACCUUGAAUUGUAGUUCCCAUAAUUCCCAUGUGUCGUGGGAGGGACCUGGUGGGAGGUAACUGAAUCAUGGGGGUGGUUAUCCCCAUGCUAGUGUUCUUGUGAUAGUGAGUUCUCACAUGAUCUGAUGGUUUUAUAAGCUUCUCCCUUUGCUCAGCUCUCAUUCUUCUCUCUCCUGCUGCCUUGUGAAGAAGAAUGUAUUUGCUUCCCCUUCUACCAUGAUUGUAAGUUUCCU